This 439-nucleotide ribosomal RNA is filed under the name Amazonian soil bacterium P19a. RNAcentral's name for it is "bacterial SSU rRNA". It matches the Rfam family "Bacterial small subunit ribosomal RNA", at positions 1078 to 1507 of the family's 1533-position model. The record is from RNAcentral.
GGUUAAGUCCCGCAACGAGCGCAACCCUUGUCCCGUGUUGCCAGCAACUCUUCGGAGGUUGGGGACUCACGGGAGACCGCCGGGGUCAACUCGGAGGAAGGUGGGGACGACGUCAAGUCAUCAUGCCCCUUAUGUCUUGGGCUGCACACGUGCUACAAUGGCCGGUACAAUGAGCUGCGAUACCGUGAGGUGGAGCGAAUCUCAAAAAGCCGGUCUCAGUUCGGAUUGGGGUCUGCAACUCGACCCCAUGAAGUCGGAGUUGCUAGUAAUCGCAGAUCAGCAGUGCUGCGGUGAAUACGUUCCCGGGCCUUGUACACACCGCCCGUCACGUCACGAAAGUCGGUAACACCCGAAGCCGGUGGCCCAACCCCUUGUGGGAGGGAGCUGUCGAAGGUGGGACUGGCGAUUGGGACGAAGUCGUAACAAGNAACCCGAUCAC